This 360-nucleotide ribosomal RNA is filed under the name Triticum aestivum (bread wheat). Its description in RNAcentral is "partial small subunit ribosomal RNA". Lineage: Eukaryota; Viridiplantae; Streptophyta; Magnoliopsida; Poales; Poaceae. The record is from RNAcentral.
AUGUUCUGCUGCGUCAAGCAGCCGCCUGGCGGUCAGAAGGGUGCCUACUACGCCAUCCAUCACAUGCGGGCGAUCGUACGGGACCAGCAUCAACUUCUGCUACCGAGUAAACUCAAAGAUUGGGCCGCGAGCAUGUCGGCAAUCCAGGACGCGGACAUCAGACAAGAAUUCUUUCGCAUCCAGUCGGAGUUUGCGGAAAUCAUCUAUCAAGAUGUCCUUCGUACCUUGAGGCAGUUCUACCUCAGAAAUCAACCGUCCAACAGUGACAUCGACACAAUGCUACAAAUGCAGGCUGACAACGACCGUUAUUUCAUGACUCCCACGAUAGACGGCGACUUCAUCCACGCUCCGGUCCCUUGA